RNAcentral lists this ribosomal RNA (253 nucleotides) under uncultured bacterium. Its description in RNAcentral is "partial 16S ribosomal RNA". It matches the Rfam family "Bacterial small subunit ribosomal RNA", at positions 524 to 776 of the family's 1533-position model. The record is from RNAcentral.
UACGAAGGGGACUAGCGUUGUUCGGAAUCACUGGGCGUAAAGGGCGCGUAGGCGGCUUUGUAAGUCGGGGGUGAAAGCCUGUGGCUCAACCACAGAAUUGCCUUCGAUACUGCAUGGCUUGAGACCGGAAGAGGUAAGUGGAACUGCGAGUGUAGAGGUGAAAUUCGUAGAUAUUCGCAAGAACACCAGUGGCGAAGGCGGCUUACUGGUCCGGAUCUGACGCUGAGGCGCGAAAGCGUGGGGAGCAAACGGG